GGGGGCGCACCGGUUUCGACGGGGAUAGUCGAGGUCGGAGUUGCAGGUCGAGGCGCCGCUGGCCUCGUAAAAAGCGGCACAACCAAUAGUUGCCAAGAACGACUACGAUUACGCUCUGGCCGCCUAAAUAACGGUCACGUCGAAGCGGUGGACGUCAGAUAAACCGUGACGGCGAAAACUUAUCUGGCUGGCGUCGUUGGUCGGUCCGUUGCCGACGAUGCGAGAAAACAGACGGUCUUGGUUUUCCGGCUGCCGUGAGUGGGGGCAAUCCGGAAAAUGACGACGAAACUCAUUCUAAACCUGUAGAUGCUCCGUGCCGAGCGUUCUCGGACGCGGGUUCAAUUCCCGCCGCCUCCACCA
Molecule: transfer-messenger RNA, 360 nt
Filed under: Alkalidesulfovibrio alkalitolerans
Lineage: Bacteria; Pseudomonadati; Thermodesulfobacteriota; Desulfovibrionia; Desulfovibrionales; Desulfovibrionaceae
Also listed under: 1 other name
Description: Desulfohalovibrio alkalitolerans Standard tmRNA
Rfam family: transfer-messenger RNA
About the family: Bacterial tmRNA, also known as 10Sa RNA or SsrA, is named for its dual tRNA and mRNA-like properties. Its role is to liberate the mRNA from a stalled ribosome.
Source: RNAcentral